RNAcentral lists this ribosomal RNA (288 nucleotides) under Paenibacillus sp. RNAcentral's name for it is "partial 16S ribosomal RNA". It matches the Rfam family "Bacterial small subunit ribosomal RNA", at positions 830 to 1116 of the family's 1533-position model. Lineage: Bacteria; Bacillati; Bacillota; Bacilli; Caryophanales; Paenibacillaceae. The record is from RNAcentral.
UUUCAAUACCCUUGGUGCCGAAGUUAACACAUUAAGCAUUCCGCCUGGGGAGUACGGUCGCAAGACUGAAACUCAAAGGAAUUGACGGGGACCCGCACAAGCAGUGCAGUAUGUGGUUUAAUUCGAAGCAACGCGAAGAACCUUACCAGGUCUUGACAUCCCUCUGACCGUCCUAGAGAUAGGGCUUUCCUUCGGGACAGAGGAGACAGGUGGCGCAUGGUUGUCGUCAGCUCGUGUCGUGAGAUGUUGGGUUAAGUCCCGCAACGAGCGCAACCCUUGAUCUUAGUU